GGACCGAACCGACUAAUGUUGAAAAAUUAGCGGAUGACUUGUGGCUGGGGGUGAAAGGCCAAUCAAACCGGGAGAUAGCUGGUUCUCCCCGAAAGCUAUUUAGGUAGCGCCUCGUGAAUUCAUCUCCGGGGGUAGAGCACUGUUUCGGCAAGGGGGUCAUCCCGACUUACCAACCCGAUGCAAACUGCGAAUACCGGAGAAUGUUAUCACGGGAGACACACGGCGGGUGCUAACGUCCGUCGUGAAGAGGGAAACAACCCAGACCGCCAGCUAAGGUCCCAAAGUCAUGGUUAAGUGGGAAACGAUGUGGGAAGGCCCAGACAGCCAGGAUGUUGGCUUAGAAGCAGCCAUCAUUUAAAGAAAGCGUAAUAGCUCACUGGUCGAGUCGGCCUGCGCGGAAGAUGUAACGGGGCUAAACCAUGCACCGAAGCUGCGGCAGCGACGCUGAUGCGUUGUUGGGUAGGGGAGCGUUCUGUAAGCCUGUGAAGGUGUGCUGUGAGGUAUGCUGGAGGUAUCAGAAGUGCGAAUGCUGACAUAAGUAACGAUAAAGCGGGUGAAAAGCCCGCUCGCCGGAAGACCAAGGGUUCCUGUCCAACGUUAAUCGGGGCAGGGUGAGUCGACCCCUAAGGCGAGGCCGAAAGGCGUAGUCGAUGGGAAACAGGUUAAUAUUCCUGUACUUGGUGUUACUGCGAAGGGGGGACGGAGAAGGCUAUGUUGGCCGGGCGACGGUUGUCCCGGUU
RNAcentral lists this ribosomal RNA (740 nucleotides) under Shigella flexneri. Its description in RNAcentral is "partial 23S ribosomal RNA". It matches the Rfam family "Bacterial large subunit ribosomal RNA", at positions 771 to 1512 of the family's 2925-position model. Lineage: Bacteria; Pseudomonadati; Pseudomonadota; Gammaproteobacteria; Enterobacterales; Enterobacteriaceae. The record is from RNAcentral.